RNAcentral lists this ribosomal RNA (211 nucleotides) under uncultured bacterium. Its description in RNAcentral is "partial 16S ribosomal RNA". It matches the Rfam family "Bacterial small subunit ribosomal RNA", at positions 524 to 734 of the family's 1533-position model. The record is from RNAcentral.
UACGUAGGGUGCGAGCGUUGUCCGGAAUUACUGGGCGUAAAGAGUUCGUAGGCGGUUUGUUACGUCGUUUGUGAAAACUCACAGCUCAACUGUGAGCCUGCAGGCGAUACGGGCAGACUUGAGUACUGCAGGGGAGACUGGAAUUCCUGGUGUAGCGGUGAAAUGCGCAGAUAUCAGGAGGAACACCGGUGGCGAAGGCGGGUCUCUGGGC